Molecule: ribosomal RNA, 253 nt
Filed under: uncultured bacterium
Lineage: Bacteria
Description: partial 16S ribosomal RNA
Rfam family: Bacterial small subunit ribosomal RNA
Source: RNAcentral
UACGUAGGGGGCUAGCGUUGUCCGGAAUCAUUGGGCGUAAAGCGCGCGUAGGCGGCCCGGUAAGUCCGCUGUGAAAGUCAAAGGCUCAACCUUUGAAUGUCAGCGGAUACUGCCGGGCUAGAGUCCGGAAGAGGCGAGUGGAAUUCCUGGUGUAGCGGUGGAAUGCGCAGAUAUCAGGAGGAACACCAACGGCGAAGGCAGCUCGCUGGGACGGUACUGACGCUGAUGCGCGAAAGCGUGGGGAGCAAACGGG